Rattus norvegicus (Norway rat) is the source of this 1274-nucleotide long non-coding RNA. RefSeq lists it as uncharacterized. Lineage: Eukaryota; Metazoa; Chordata; Mammalia; Rodentia; Muridae. The record is from RefSeq and is a predicted model, not a curated record.
UCUGCGGAGAAAGCAUGGUCAGGGUCGCAAAGCUCGGCAGUGGCCGGAAAGCAAUACGGCAUUGCCGCAACUAUUAGGUCGUAAACUUGCCAGUCAUGUUCAGCAACGCGGCACUGGCACGAUUAGGUCAUAAGCUUGCCAGUAAGGUUAGGUACCUGUGUUUUUCCUCUCCUAGCUCUACUUGAUCCGCAUAAUACAUGCAUGCAUACAUAGAACACAGACAUCUAUAUGUAUGUACAUAUAUAUUUUAAGUGCAUAUUAUAUAUUUACAAAUUAUAUGUCAGAUGUAUUUGUUAUAAACACGUCAUGUUUUUCAUUUUAGUAUCUACUUCAACUUCCUUCUAAUCCUAUUUUACUCAGACUCUUUUCAUUCAUCCUACUGGUAUAUUGUAACUACGUGCUGGCUCAGUGUCAACAGGUCAGUUGGUGGGACAAGUAUUAUUCCCAGGAGCUUUACACAUUCACACAACUGGCUUCUCUAGAGACCUCCCACCGUGUCUAAUUGUGAGAGUAAAUUGAAUGUCUAUUUUAGGCGUCACAUCUACGGGCCACGCCACACAUCUCAGCCAGUCUGGGCCUCUGGGUUUCCUUUCCUUCCCCCACUGGAUGGCUUCUUAGGAUCCUACAUACUCCAGCGACUCUACAUUCGCCUCCCCUUCAACACACGUGCUUUUGCUGACUUGCUGCUGGGUUCCUUGCAAAACCUAUACCAUGUCCUAAUGGGCAGAGAUGCACAGCAAGGCCAAUGGGACCCUGAGAGGAAUGACUGAGAUGCUCAUAUCCUAGCCCCGUGACCAACAGAUUGGAGUCCAAAUGGUGCCUGAACCACAGGAGACCCACCUUAUCUCCAGCCAGGAUCUUGAAGGAAGCCAUGACCUGAUCCGCUGUAUCUGUGUCAGCCGUCUCUCGGGACAUGAAGUCGAUGAAGGCCUGGAACGUCACUACCCCCAAGCGGUUUGGGUCUACAAUGCUCAUGAUCCGGGCAAAUUCUGCCUCUCCCUAGAGGAAACAGCCAACACACACCUGUCACCCUAGUGGCCUACUGGGUGUCUCAGGUGUACGUCCAGCCCUAAGUAGCCUAUGGUUGGAACAGGAGGGCACAACAGACCUCUGAUCUGGCUUGGGUUGCCCCAGGGUAUGAACGUGACUCAAUAGUUGGGAUUUUCAGGAUUUCCAACCCCCCAACCCCCUGCAGUGCCCUUGGUUUCCUUUAUAGGAAAUGAUGGCAGUAUUAAUUAUAAUGACAAUAAAAUGAACAAUGGCUAACACCCACA